RNAcentral lists this ribosomal RNA (966 nucleotides) under Triticum aestivum (bread wheat). Its description in RNAcentral is "partial small subunit ribosomal RNA". The record is from RNAcentral. Lineage: Eukaryota; Viridiplantae; Streptophyta; Magnoliopsida; Poales; Poaceae.
AUGGGGACGAGGUCGGGUGAAGAUUCGACGGCCACACGGUGGGAAAGCAAUGGCGGCGGCUUCACCGAUCUGCGGGAUGGCAAACAGUUUUUUGUGGAUCACCCUGGAGCAGUUCCUAUUUCCACCGCUCAGGAUGAAGAGCUGAAGAAGGUAAUUGGCAGGAUGACCUACGUAGAGUGCAGCUCAAAAACACAGCAGAAUAUCAAGGCGAUGUUUGAUGCAGCGAUUAAGGUGGUUCCAGCCAUUGAAGCAGAAGCAGAAGAAGUGGAAGGCGCAGAAAGUAUGCACGGACAGACCAAUGGUGGAGGCUCGAGGGACGGAGUGCCGCCGCCGCCGCCAUCCUCACCCCUGAGCCCAAACUUCCAAUUUGAUAGAUGGGAGGGUCUGCAGAAGAAGAGCCUGGAAGAGAGCAUUCAAGCAAGGUUCCCCCAACGUGAAUUCUCUUGUAGGAUUGGGUCUGCAGCUGCAUUGCUAUUAGUGCAAUUUUCUUGUAUGAAGGUUUCCUUGCUGAACCCUGAAUUGGCAUGGAAUUCAACCUUCUUCAAAGAACCGGUCAUGCUUCCUGAAUUUGUAAUUCUGGGCGGAUCUCCCGAGGAAAGUGCUCGGCUUAAGGCAUCUAGCAAUAUGAAUGAGCUCAUUUCACUCUUAUCUCCUCAGUCGAGGCUAGUCGUUACAUCAUCCGGCGAUGAUCUUCCUUCAGAUGGCACUUUGAAUUCGGAUGCAAUAACAGUUCAAGUUCUUGUCAAUGAUGUCCAUGUUGGAGACUCAGUAUUGGUUAUUGAGUCAUUAGAAAGGAUAGUUGAUGAUUCUGACUUUGAACAUGGUACCCAUCAUCAUAUUGAAGUAUGUUGGUGGUUGGUACCAAUCAUUUUUUGUGAUAGAAGCUUGGCAUGCGUUUUGUCAACUGUUGAAGAAGAGAAGAUUGUCCUAGGCGACUGCAAGUUUUUCAAAUCUACCUUCUACUAG